GACGAACGCUGGCGGCGUGCUUAACACAUGCAAGUCGAACGGAAAGGUCCUGCUUUUGUGGGGUGCUCGAGUGGCGAACGGGUGAGUAACACGUGAGUAACCUGCCCUUGACUUUGGGAUAACUUCAGGAAACUGGGGCUAAUACCGGAUAGGAGCUCCUGCUGCAUGGUGGGGGUUGGAAAGUUUCGGCGGUUGGGGAUGGACUCGCGGCUUAUCAGCUUGUUGGUGGGGUAGUGGCUUACCAAGGCUUUGACGGGUAGCCGGCGUUAGAGGGUGACCGGCCACAUUGGGACUGAGAUACGGCCCAGACUCCUACGGGAGGCAGCAGUGGGGAAUAUUGCACAAUGGGCGGAAGCCUGAUGCAGCAGCGCCGCGUGCGGGAUGACGGCCUUCGGGUUGUAAACCGCUUUCGCCUGUGACGAAGCGUGAGUGACGGUAAUGGGUAAAGAAGCACCGGCUAACUACGUG
Molecule: ribosomal RNA, 468 nt
Filed under: uncultured bacterium
Lineage: Bacteria
Description: partial 16S ribosomal RNA
Rfam family: Bacterial small subunit ribosomal RNA
Source: RNAcentral